Molecule: ribosomal RNA, 250 nt
Filed under: uncultured bacterium
Lineage: Bacteria
Description: partial 16S ribosomal RNA
Rfam family: Bacterial small subunit ribosomal RNA
Source: RNAcentral
GACGGAGGGUGCUAGCGUUAUUCGGAUUUAUUGGGCGUAAAGAGAGUGUAGGCGGUCAGCCAAGUCUGAUGUGAAAGCCCGGGGCUUAACCUCGGAAGGGCGUUGGAAACUGGUUGACUUGAGUUCGGGAGAGGAAAGCGGAAUUCCGGGUGUAGAGGUGAAAUUCGUAGAUAUCCGGAGGAACACCGGUGGCGAAGGCGGCUUUCUGGACUGAAACUGACGCUGAGGAGCGAAAGCGUGGGGAUCAAAC